RNAcentral lists this ribosomal RNA (254 nucleotides) under uncultured bacterium. Its description in RNAcentral is "partial 16S ribosomal RNA". It matches the Rfam family "Bacterial small subunit ribosomal RNA", at positions 524 to 776 of the family's 1533-position model. The record is from RNAcentral.
UACAGAGGGUGCAAGCGUUAAUCGGAAUUACUGGGCGUAAAGCGUGCGCGAGACGGUUGCGUAAGUCAGAUGUGAAAGCCCCGGGCUCAACCUGGGAAUUGCAUUUGAGACUGCGUAGCUAGGGUGCGGAAGAGGGAAGCGGAAUUUCCGGUGUAGCGGUGAAAUGCGUAGAUAUCGGAAGGAACACCAGUGGCGAAAGCGGCUUCCUGGUCCAGCACCGACGUUCAGGCACGAAAGCGUGGGGAGCAAACAGG